Molecule: ribosomal RNA, 294 nt
Filed under: Triticum aestivum (bread wheat)
Lineage: Eukaryota; Viridiplantae; Streptophyta; Magnoliopsida; Poales; Poaceae
Description: partial small subunit ribosomal RNA
Source: RNAcentral
AUGAGCAGAUUUCGACGUUUCAUUGCGGAUGAGGAGCUCCUUGACAUUUAUCUCCACGGGUGCCUUUAUACUUGGUGGAGUGAGCGGGAGACGCCUAUUUUGGAGAGCAUCAACCGUGCCCUAUGCACCUCCGGUUGGGCAGUGGCUUGGUGGAUUUGGAAGCAAUGAAAUGCAUGUGUUUUCAACACCGAACAACCCUCCAUCUCUCACCUCACCUCGACGAUCAAGGAGGAGGCACGCAGGUGGGCUCGUGCGGGCGUCAUAGGACUGUGCAACAUCGUGCCUGAGACGUAG